UACGUAGGGUGCAAGCGUUGUCCGGAAUUAUUGGGCGUAAAGAGCUCGUAGGCGGUUUGUCGCAUCUGCUGUGAAAACUCGGGGCUUAACCCCGGGCCUGCAGUGGGUACGGGCAGACUAGAGUGCGGUAGGGGAGACUGGAAUUCCUGGUGUAGCGGUGAAAUGCGCAGAUAUCAGGAGGAACACCGGUGGCGAAGGCGGGUCUCUGGGCCGUAACUGACGCUGAGGAGCGAAAGCAUGGGGAGCGAACAGG
This 253-nucleotide ribosomal RNA is filed under the name uncultured bacterium. RNAcentral describes it as "partial 16S ribosomal RNA". It matches the Rfam family "Bacterial small subunit ribosomal RNA", at positions 524 to 776 of the family's 1533-position model. The record is from RNAcentral.